Molecule: unclassified non-coding RNA, 117 nt
Organism: Macaca fascicularis (crab-eating macaque)
Lineage: Eukaryota; Metazoa; Chordata; Mammalia; Primates; Cercopithecidae
Rfam family: Metazoan signal recognition particle RNA
About the family: The signal recognition particle (SRP) is a universally conserved ribonucleoprotein. It is involved in the co-translational targeting of proteins to membranes.
Source: Ensembl
GCCGGGCAUGGUGGCUCAUGCCUGUAAUCCCAGCACUUUGGGAGGCUGAGGCGGGUGGAUCACCUGAGGUCAGGAGUUUGAGACCAGCCUGGCUAACAUGGUGAAACCCUGUCUCUA